AGAUUUCCGAAUGGGGCAACCCAAUGUAUAGAGAUAUACAUUACCUAUAUAGGAGCGAACGAGGGGAAUUGAAACAUCUUAGUACCCUCAGGAAAAGAAAUCAAUAGAGAUUGCGUCAGUAGCGGCGAGCGAAAGCGCAAGAGGGCAAACCCAGUGCUUGCACUGGGGGUUGUAGGACUGCAAUGUGCAAGAGGUAAGUUUAGCAGAACAUUCUGGAAAGUAUAACCAUAGAGGGUGAUAGUCCCGUAUGCGAAAAACAAACCUUAGCUAGCAGUAUCCUGAGUAGGGCGGGACACGAGGAAUCCUGUCUGAAUCCGGGUCGACCACGAUCCAACCCUAAAUACUAAUACCAGAUCGAUAGUGCACAAGUACCGUGAGGGAAAGGUGAAAAGAACUGAGGUGAUCAGAGUGAAAUAGAACCUGAAACCAUUUGCUUACAAUCAUUCAGAGCCCUAUGUAGCAAUACAGGGUGAUGGACUGCCUUUUGCAUAAUGAGCCUGCGAGUUGUGGUGUCUGGCAAGGUUAAGCAAACGCGAAGCCGUAGCGAAAGCGAGUCUGAAUAGGGCGCUUAGUCAGAUGCUGCAGACCCGAAACGAAGUGAUCUAUCCAUGAGCAAGUUGAAGCUAGUGUAAGAACUAGUGGAGGACUGAACCCAUAGGCGUUGAAAAGCCCCGGGAUGACUUGUGGAUAGGGGUGAAAGGCCAAUCAAACUUCGUGAUAGCUGGUUCUCUCCGAAAUAUAUUUAGGUAUAGCGUUGUGUCGUAAUAUAAGGGGGUAGAGCACUGAAUGGGCUAGGGCAUACACCAAUGUACCAAACCCUAUCAAACUCCGAAUACCUUAUAUGUAAUCACAGCAGUCAGGCGGCGAGUGAUAAAAUCCGUCGUCAAGAGGGAAACAACCCAGACUACCAGCUAAGGUCCCUAAAUCUUACUUAAGUGGAAAACGAUGUGAAGUUACUUAAACAACCAGGAGGUUGGCUUAGAAGCAGCCAUCCUUUAAAGAAAGCGUAAUAGCUCACUGGUCUAGUGAUUUUGCGCGGAAAAUAUAACGGGGCUAAAGUAAGUACCGAAGCUGUAGACUUGCACACAACUUAGAUUAUUUAAGUUUAGAAUAUGAGAAACUAAGUUAUAUGUUUAGUUAUAUUUUUACUGAUUUUUAUAGAGUAAAGAUAGAAAUAAAACUUAGUAAAAUCAGUAAAAAUAUUCUUAGACUAAAGUUAAGUAGUUUAAGUUGUGUGCAAGUGGUAGGAGAGCGUUCUAUUUGCGUCGAAGGUAUACCGGUAAGGAGUGCUGGAGCGAAUAGAAGUGAGCAUGCAGGCAUGAGUAGCGAUAAUUAAUGUGAGAAUCAUUAACGCCGUAAACCCAAGGUUUCCUACGCGAUGCUCGUCAUCGUAGGGUUAGUCGGGUCCUAAGUCGAGUCCGAAAGGGGUAGACGAUGGCAAAUUGGUUAAUAUUCCAAUACCAACAUUAGUGUGCGAUGGAAGGACGCUUAGGGCUAAGGGGGCUAGCGGAUGGAAGUGCUAGUCUAAGGUCGUAGGAGGUUAUACAGGCAAAUCCGUAUAACAAUACUCCGAGAACUGAAAGGCUUUUUGAAGUCUUCGGAUGGAUAGAAGAACCCCUGAUGCCGUCGAGCCAAGAAAAGUUUCUAAGUUUAGCUAAUGUUGCCCGUACCGUAAACCGACACAGGUGGGUGGGAUGAGUAUUCUAAGGCGCGUGGAAGAACUCUCUUUAAGGAACUCUGCAAAAUAGCACCGUAUCUUCGGUAUAAGGUGUGGUUAGCUUUGUAUUAGGAUUUACUCCGAAAGCAAGGAAACUUACAACAAAGAGUCCCUCCCGACUGUUUACCAAAAACACAGCACUCUGCUAACUCGUAAGAGGAUGUAUAGGGUGUGACGCCUGCCCGGUGCUCGAAGGUUAAUUGAUGGGGUUAGCAUUAGCGAAGCUCUUGAUCGAAGCCCGAGUAAACGGCGGCCGUAACUAUAACGGUCCUAAGGUAGCGAAAUUCCUUGUCGGUUAAAUACCGACCUGCAUGAAUGGCGUAACGAGAUGGGAGCUGUCUCAAAGAGGGAUCCAGUGAAAUUGUAGUGGAGGUGAAAAUUCCUCCUACCCGCGGCAAGACGGAAAGACCCCGUGGACCUUUACUACAGCUUGACACUGCUACUUGGAUAAGAAUGUGCAGGAUAGGUGGGAGGCUUUGAGUAUAUGACGCCAGUUGUAUAUGAGCCAUUGUUGAGAUACCACUCUUUCUUAUUUGGGUAGCUAACCAGCUUGAGUUAUCCUCAAGUGGGACAAUGUCUGGUGGGUAGUUUGACUGGGGCGGUCGCCUCCCAAAUAAUAACGGAGGCUUACAAAGGUUGGCUCAGAACGGUUGGAAAUCGUUCGUAGAGUAUAAAGGUAUAAGCCAGCUUAACUGCAAGACAUACAAGUCAAGCAGAGACGAAAGUCGGUCUUAGUGAUCCGGUGGUUCUGUGUGGAAGGGCCAUCGCUCAAAGGAUAAAAGGUACCCCGGGGAUAACAGGCUGAUCUCCCCCAAGAGCUCACAUCGACGGGGAGGUUUGGCACCUCGAUGUCGGCUCAUCGCAUCCUGGGGCUGGAGCAGGUCCCAAGGGUAUGGCUGUUCGCCAUUUAAAGCGGUACGCGAGCUGGGUUCAGAACGUCGUGAGACAGUUCGGUCCCUAUCUGCCGUGGGCGUAAGAAGAUUGAAGAGAUUUGACCCUAGUACGAGAGGACCGGGUUGAACAAACCACUGGUGUAGCUGUUGUUCUGCCAAGAGCAUCGCAGCGUAGCUAAGUUUGGAAAGGAUAAACGC
This 2808-nucleotide ribosomal RNA is filed under the name Campylobacter jejuni RM1221. RNAcentral describes it as "bacterial LSU rRNA". It matches the Rfam family "Bacterial large subunit ribosomal RNA". Lineage: Bacteria; Pseudomonadati; Campylobacterota; Epsilonproteobacteria; Campylobacterales; Campylobacteraceae. The record is from RNAcentral.